Molecule: non-coding RNA, 881 nt
Organism: Arachis ipaensis
Lineage: Eukaryota; Viridiplantae; Streptophyta; Magnoliopsida; Fabales; Fabaceae
Source: RefSeq, a predicted model, not a curated record
AACUAACCCCCUUCCCCCUAACCCUAAUCCCCUAAAUGGGCAAACGGCAUUAACCCUCCUUCAAUCUUUCUCACCUCAUCUGCUCAUCACAACGUAGUUGAAGAAAACCUCACCUCACAUCAACUCACCGCGGGCCUGUCGUCUUCUUCAUCUCGCCGGAAAAUGGUGCGCCUCCAAUGACAUCUCAACCUCACCUCACCGUCGCGUUUUGGGUCGCAAGCCGUCCCCUUCGUCGCGGCUCCACGUCGUCGUCGUCGUCGUCGUCGCCGUCAUCGCGUCCUCUCCGUCCUCUGCGUCCUCUCUCGGACUAUCGGACAGUUUGUGCUUGUUUCGUUGGCUGGGUGGGGCGCAUUCAUCUAUGGGAAUUGCAAGUUCUUCACUAGAGGCAAGGGCAACAAAGAAGAGAAAGUUGGAGAAGCACCAAACAAGGCUUGAGGUUGUUACUCCAUAGAAGCGAUAUACCAGUUGCUUAAUAAGUUGCCCUACUUGGAUUUAGUUAUAGGUUCCUUGCCACCGUCGUCCCCAGGUUCUCCCUUCUCGGCGCCUCCGCUUCUUCCUCUUCCCCAGGUCCAGAACCCAGGUAGCUCGGCACGUCGUCCACUGGCUUCUCUCUUCGUGGCUUGGAGGUUGGAGCAGCUUGCCGUUUGCCGUGGUUGCCGUCUGUGUCUCCGUCGAAGGUGAGUGGCCGUGCUUUGCUUCUUCCUUUUAUGGGGCGUUGAAUGAACCAGUUCCAACUUUCUCUAUUGGAGAAUGGUUCAAUAUCCAGAAACUCAUGAAUGCAAAUGCGUACACGUAGCCAUCCUCGAUGGGUGUGGCCGUAACAGCCCACCUCCUCUUGGAACUAAGGUGCAUCACCAUUUGCCUUCGCCCGACUCCUGAAA